This is a non-coding RNA of Maylandia zebra (zebra mbuna), 631 nucleotides long. The record is from RefSeq and is a predicted model, not a curated record. Lineage: Eukaryota; Metazoa; Chordata; Actinopteri; Cichliformes; Cichlidae.
ACUGGGGUUUCAUUACUUCACUCAGAGUUUCAGUAGACGUAAACUGUGUUUGAUUUGUGUUUUGAUUUCCAGGAAAUGAAAGUAAAUGAUUUUACUGACAAAUGCAUCUUUUCAAUGAUUUAGACACAAACGAGGCCCACACUUCAGCAGACAAAUCUUUUUCCGUUUAUCUGCCCGGUGUUGUGAUCAUCUUUAUAACUGGAGUUAUCGUGGGAUUUAUCUACUGGAGGAAAAGUAAUGGGUCAGGAACAUCUGGAGUGUCUGUACCUGAAAAUCCCAACGGUUUGGAUGACGAUGAGCCAGAUCAGCCCUAUACAAACCUUCAGCAGCCAUCGAGUGAUUCCUACCAGACUAUCAUCUCAGUGAACCAUCAACACGACAACAAGACACGCUCAGCAAGAAGCACAGGAACUGUGGGAGUGGAUAAUAAAGCUCUAUGAAACAUUUUAAAGUAUAUAAAACUUUAGGUGACAUACUAAUAUAAUAAUAUUCAUAUAUUAUAAUAAACGUCCAUCUUUUCACACUGGAUAGUUGUUUCCCAGUAAUGGAGACCAUUCAGUCAUAAUACUCCAACUCAGGCUCUCAGAUUUAAUACAAUACAAACACAAUAAACUGUGGCAAACAUGACUCU